RNAcentral lists this ribosomal RNA (2229 nucleotides) under Staphylococcus pseudintermedius. RNAcentral's name for it is "partial 23S ribosomal RNA". It matches the Rfam family "Bacterial large subunit ribosomal RNA", at positions 590 to 2821 of the family's 2925-position model. The record is from RNAcentral. Lineage: Bacteria; Bacillati; Bacillota; Bacilli; Caryophanales; Staphylococcaceae.
UGGGUGAUGGCGUGCCUUUUGUAGAAUGAACCGGCGAGUUACGAUCUGAUGCAAGGUUAAGCAGAAAAUGUGGAGCCGUAGCGAAAGCGAGUCUGAAUAGGGCGAAUGAGUAUUUGGUCGUAGACCCGAAACCAGGUGAUCUACCCUUGGUCAGGUUGAAGUUCAGGUAACACUGAAUGGAGGACCGAACCGACUUACGUUGAAAAGUGAGCGGAUGAACUGAGGGUAGCGGAGAAAUUCCAAUCGAACUUGGAGAUAGCUGGUUCUCUCCGAAAUAGCUUUAGGGCUAGCCUCAAGUGAUGAUUAUUGGAGGUAGAGCACUGUUUGGACGAGGGGCCCCUCUCGGGUUACCGAAUUCAGACAAACUCCGAAUGCCAAAUAAUUUAACUUGGGAGUCAGAAUGUGGGUGAUAAGGUCCAUAUUCGAAAGGGAAACAGCCCAGACCACCAGCUAAGGUCCCAAAAUAUAUGUUAAGUGGAAAAGGAUGUGGCGUUGCCCAGACAACUAGGAUGUUGGCUUAGAAGCAGCCAUCAUUUAAAGAGUGCGUAAUAGCUCACUAGUCGAGUGACACUGCGCCGAAAAUGUACCGGGGCUAAACAUAUUACCGAAGCUGUGGAUUGUCCUUUGGACAAUGGUAGGAGAGCGUUCUAAGGGCGUUGAAGCAUGAUCGCAAGGACAUGUGGAGCGCUUAGAAGUGAGAAUGCCGGUGUGAGUAGCGAAAGACGGGUGAGAAUCCCGUCCACCGAUUGACUAAGGUUUCCAGAGGAAGGCUCGUCCGCUCUGGGUUAGUCGGGUCCUAAGCUGAGGCCGACAGGCGUAGGCGAUGGAUAACAGGUUGAUAUUCCUGUACCACCAUUAUUCGUUUUAAGCGAUGGGGGGACGCAGUAGGAUAGGCGAAGCGUGCUGUUGGAGUGCACGUCCAAGCAGUGAGAUUGAGUGUUAGGCAAAUCCGGCACUCUUAAGAUUGAGCUGUGAUGGGGAGAGGAACUUGUUCCUCGAGUCGUUGAUUUCACACUGCCGAGAAAAGCCUCUAGCUAGAAUAACGGUGCCCGUACCGCAAACCGACACAGGUAGUCAAGAUGAGAAUUCUAAGGUGAGCGAGCGAACUCUCGUUAAGGAACUCGGCAAAAUGACCCCGUAACUUCGGGAGAAGGGGUGCUCUUUGAGGUUCACGCUUCGAAGAGCCGCAGUGAAUAGGCCCAAGCGACUGUUUAUCAAAAACACAGGUCUCUGCUAAACCGUAAGGUGACGUAUAGGGGCUGACGCCUGCCCGGUGCUGGAAGGUUAAGAGGAGUGGUUAGCGCAAGCGAAGCUACGAAUCGAAGCCCCAGUAAACGGCGGCCGUAACUAUAACGGUCCUAAGGUAGCGAAAUUCCUUGUCGGGUAAGUUCCGACCCGCACGAAAGGCGUAACGAUUUGGGCACUGUCUCAACGAGAGACUCGGUGAAAUCAUAGUACCGGUGAAGAUGCCGGUUACCCGCGACAGGACGGAAAGACCCCGUGGAGCUUUACUGUAGCCUGAUAUUGAAAUUCGGUACAGUUUGUACAGGAUAGGUAGGAGCCUUAGAAGCGUGAGCGCUAGCUUACGUGGAGGCAUUGGUGGGAUACUACCCUAAUUGUAUUGGAUUUCUAACCCGCAGCACUUAUCGUGCUGGGAGACAGUGUCAGGCGGGCAGUUUGACUGGGGCGGUCGCCUCCUAAAGAGUAACGGAGGCGCUCAAAGGUUCCCUCAGAAUGGUUGGAAAUCAUUCAUAGAGUGUAAAGGCAUAAGGGAGCUUGACUGCGAGACCUACAAGUCGAGCAGGGUCGAAAGACGGACUUAGUGAUCCGGUGGUUCCGCAUGGAAGGGCCAUCGCUCAACGGAUAAAAGCUACCCCGGGGAUAACAGGCUUAUCUCCCCCAAGAGUUCACAUCGACGGGGAGGUUUGGCACCUCGAUGUCGGCUCAUCGCAUCCUGGGGCUGUAGUCGGUCCCAAGGGUUGGGCUGUUCGCCCAUUAAAGCGGUACGCGAGCUGGGUUCAGAACGUCGUGAGACAGUUCGGUCCCUAUCCGUCGUGGGCGUAGGAAAUUUGAGAGGAGCUGUCCUUAGUACGAGAGGACCGGGAUGGACAUACCUCUGGUGUACCAGUUGUCGUGCCAACGGCAUAGCUGGGUAGCUAUGUAUGGACGGGAUAAGUGCUGAAAGCAUCUAAGCAUGAAGCCCCCCUCGAGAUGAGAUUUCCCAACUUC